This 449-nucleotide ribosomal RNA is filed under the name uncultured bacterium. RNAcentral's name for it is "partial 16S ribosomal RNA". It matches the Rfam family "Bacterial small subunit ribosomal RNA", at positions 330 to 793 of the family's 1533-position model. The record is from RNAcentral.
UCCAGACUCCUACGGGAGGCAGCAGUGGGGAAUAUUGGGCAAUGGAGGAAACUCUGACCCAGCAAUGCCGCGUGAAUGAAGAAGGUCUUCGGAUUGUAAAGUUCUUUAGUCAGGGAAGAAGUCAAUGACGGUACCUGAAGAAUAAGCACCGGCUAACUCCGUGCCAGCAGCCGCGGUAAUACGGAGGGUGCAAGCGUUACUCGGAAUCACUGGGCGUAAAGAGCGCGUAGGCGGGAUAGCAAGUCAGAUGUGAAAUCCUAUGGCUUAACCAUAGAACUGCAUUUGAAACUGUUAUUCUAGAGUAUGGGAGAGGUAGGUGGAAUUCUUGGUGUAGGGGUAAAAUCCGUAGAGAUCAAGAGGAAUACUCAUUGCGAAGGCGACCUGCUAGAACAUAACUGACGCUGAUGCGCGAAAGCGUGGGGAGCAAACAGGAUUAGAUACCCUUGUAU